UGGGCUUGACAUCCCACGAACCUUCCCGAAAGGGUUGGGUGCCCGCAAGGGAGCGUGGAGACAGGUGGUGCAUGGCUGUCGUCAGCUCGUGUCGUGAGAUGUUGGGUUAAGUCCCGCAACGAGCGCAACCCUCACCCCUUGUUGCGACCGGGUAAAGCCGAGCACUCUAGGGGAACUGCUAGCGUCAAGCUGGAGGAAGGCGGGGAUGACGUCAAGUCAUCAUGCCCCUUACGCCCUGGGCUACACACGUGCUACAAUGGGGCCGACAAAGAGACGCAAAGCCGCGAGGUAGAGCAAAACUCAAAAACGGUCUCUAAGUUCAGAUUGCAGUCUGCAACUCGACUGCAUGAAGGAGGAAUCGCUAGUAAUCGCGCAUCAGCACGGCGCGGUGAAUACGUUCCCGGGCCUUGUACACACCGCCCGUCACACCACGAAAGCCGGCUGUACUCGAAGUCGCUGAG
This 461-nucleotide ribosomal RNA is filed under the name uncultured Methylomirabilota bacterium. Its description in RNAcentral is "bacterial SSU rRNA". It matches the Rfam family "Bacterial small subunit ribosomal RNA", at positions 976 to 1434 of the family's 1533-position model. The record is from RNAcentral. Lineage: Bacteria; Methylomirabilota (SeqCode).